Molecule: transfer RNA, 76 nt
Filed under: Candidatus Yonathbacteria bacterium RIFCSPLOWO2_01_FULL_47_33b
Lineage: Bacteria; Candidatus Yonathiibacteriota
Description: tRNA-Val
Rfam family: tRNA
About the family: Transfer RNA (tRNA) molecules are approximately 80 nucleotides in length.
Source: RNAcentral
GGGCGAUUAGCUCAGUUGGUAGAGCAGCGCUUUUACACAGCGAAGGUCGGGGGUUCGAAUCCCUCAUCGCCCACAA